Molecule: non-coding RNA, 535 nt
Organism: Lonchura striata (white-rumped munia)
Lineage: Eukaryota; Metazoa; Chordata; Aves; Passeriformes; Estrildidae
Source: RefSeq, a predicted model, not a curated record
AGAGGCGGCGCUGGCGGGGCGGGGGCACGGCCGAGGGACUGGAGGUGGCAGAAGCUCACAAGCAAUGCUGAUCUGACAUCCCAGCAACCUGCCCGCAGCUCUCCUCCAGCAGCAGCGUGGGCUUCCUGGGGCUCUGCAGUCUGGAUCUGGACUGGCUACCUGUACCCAGAGUCUUGGUGUUCAUUGCCAGCAAAGAUUCCAGGCAGCUGCGUGAGCACAGAGAGCAAGGACUGGUUUGGAUGUUAGAUUAUGUCGGACCAAGCUGAGCAGCAUGUAUUGCCUUUGCUGUGCCACACUGAUCAAGACCUAAAACUCCACCCUCCAAUUUUGGGUGAUGUGAACGAAUUAACAAGAUCUGAAAACCUAUGAUUACAAGUGCACUUGAAAGGGCAUGAGAUUUCUGGAAACCAGGCAGUAGAUGGAAUAUGAUGAAAGGAAUCCAAAAUAAAUGGAUGGCUAAAACCCUUUUUAUCUUCAUUUUUCCAUGUGAACACAGCAAUUUAUUUAUCUGAAAUAAAUUUUCACUGGUACUUUC